CGAUAACCAUGGCUUCGGCCAUGGGGAUAGCGGCGAACGGGUGAGUAACACGUGAGCGAUCUGCCCUCGACACUGGGAUAGCCCGGGGAAACCCGGAUUAAUACCGGAUAGCCUCACGGGUCUACGGGCUCGUGAGAAAAGAUGGCUUCGGCUUUCGGUUGAGGAGGAGCUUGCGGCGGAUUAGCUUGUUGGUGGGGUAACGGCUCACCAAGGCGACGAUCCGUAGCUGGUCUGAGAGGACGAUCAGCCACACUGGGACUGAGACACGGCCCAGACUCCUACGGGAGGCAGCAGUGGGGAAUCUUGCGCAAUGGGCGAAAGCCUGACGCAGCGACGCCGCGUGAGGGAAGAAGGCCUUCGGGUUGUAAACCUCUUUCAGGAGGGACGAAGCUACUCGGGUUAAUAGCCCAGAGGGUGACGGUACCUCCAGAAGAAGCCCCGGCUAACUACGUGCCAGCAGCCGCGGUAAUACGUAGGGGGCAAGCGUUGUCCGGAUUUAUUGGGCGUAAAGGGCUCCUAGGCGGUUCAGUAAGUCGACUGUGAAAAUCCAAGGCUCAACCUUGGGACGCCAGUCGAUACUGCUGUGACUCGAGUUCGGUAGAG
This 603-nucleotide ribosomal RNA is filed under the name uncultured bacterium. RNAcentral describes it as "bacterial SSU rRNA". It matches the Rfam family "Bacterial small subunit ribosomal RNA", at positions 67 to 656 of the family's 1533-position model. The record is from RNAcentral.